UUGAAUGAAAAUAUGAAAUACAACAUAAAAACAUAAAUUUGCAGCUUCUUCUUAUAGAUAGUGCCACAAGCCUACAACAUGAAGUCGUCUCUCCAAUACCAACAGUCGAACACCGUGUUAAGGGCUGCAUACAAAAAAAAAAUAUAAAGAACAUCAAUUAACAAAUAACAAGGCAUAUGAAGAAGACCCCUUCCAAUAUGAAUUCUAUCUCCCAAGAAAUAAGCCCAAGUGCAUUAGUGACUACGCGUUCUUCCUUAAAUGCCUAAUGUGCAGCUCCGAGGAUGCAGAGCUGCUGCGACACUAUGGGGUGAUAAGCAACUAUUUAGGUGGGGAUGCUAGAGUUUAUGAGGUUAUAGACAGCUGCUGUUCUGCUCUCAGUUGGUAUAGUGCAGAUGGUGUUUGCUAUUCUCUCCUUUUGUAAGUUAUCUUGCUAAUUACCAAAUUUCAUUUCUGAUGCAUACUUAUAUGAUCAUAUAUACUUGUGAAAUGCUACCACACAAAUCAUGAUCUUAUUUUUUUUUUUUUUGUCUUUGCAUACCACAAUUAGAAGAAUCUUCCUUAAAAACAUAUCAAAAUUUAGGUAGUAAUCCCAUAUAUUGGAGCCCUCAACACCACCAAAACUUGAGCCAUCAAGAUCAUCAGGGACUACAUUAGCAAAAAGGUUCAUGUUCCUAUCAACUUGUUCGAAAUUUACAGCUCCAUUCUCAGCUAAACCCAACUCAACCCCAAACCCAACAAGAAUUUAGGGGUUUCCUCGAAUGAAGCAGCAAAACAAAAGGGGGAAAAUUUUCAAACCUUGCUUUUCAUGAUUGAAAAAAAAUAAACAACCCACAAAAAUUAGGGAUCAAACCCGCAAAGAAUUUCACGCAGCAGUCAGCACUCAAAAUCAAGAACAAUUACCCAGCAAGACUUUUAUGCAAUAUUUCAUAGACAACAAGAUUUCAGCAAGAUUUCAACAAGAUUUAAGAGAAAAUAGAACCUUAAAUGGCAGAUCGUGCUGCACUGCUGCUGUCGCGCCGAGGAGUGGAGAGUCGUUGGUGUCGCUGCUGUUGUCGCG
RNAcentral lists this long non-coding RNA (1057 nucleotides) under Salvia miltiorrhiza (redroot sage). RNAcentral's name for it is "long non-coding RNA (SMIL_LNC010907)". Lineage: Eukaryota; Viridiplantae; Streptophyta; Magnoliopsida; Lamiales; Lamiaceae. The record is from RNAcentral.